UACGUAGGGUCCGAGCGUUGUCCGGAAUUACGGGGCGUAAAGAGCUCGUAGGUGGUUUGUCGCGUUGUUCGUGAAAACUCACAGCUCAACUGUGGGCGUGCGGGCGAUACGGGCAGACUUGAGUACUGCAGGGGAGACUGGAAUUCCUGGUGUAGCGGUGGAAUGCGCAGAUAUCAGGAGGAACACCGGUGGCGAAGGCGGUUCUCUGGGCAUGAUCUGACGCUGAGGAGCGAAAGUGUGGGGAGCGAACAGG
RNAcentral lists this ribosomal RNA (253 nucleotides) under uncultured bacterium. RNAcentral's name for it is "partial 16S ribosomal RNA". It matches the Rfam family "Bacterial small subunit ribosomal RNA", at positions 524 to 776 of the family's 1533-position model. The record is from RNAcentral.